RNAcentral lists this ribosomal RNA (447 nucleotides) under Acanthamoeba genotype T4. RNAcentral's name for it is "partial 18S ribosomal RNA". The stretch from base 1 to 373 matches the Rfam family "Eukaryotic small subunit ribosomal RNA", at positions 768 to 1116 of the family's 1831-position model. The record is from RNAcentral. Lineage: Eukaryota; Discosea; Longamoebia; Acanthamoebidae.
AAAAGGUUCAAGCCAGGCAGAUCCAUUUUCUGCCACCGAAUACAUUAGCAUGGGAUAAUGGAAUAGGACCCUGUCCUCCUAUUUUCAGUUGGUUUUGGCAGCGCGAGGACUAGGGUAAUGAUUAAUAGGGAUAGUUGGGGGCAUUAAUAUUUAAUUGUCAGAGGUGAAAUUCUUGGAUUUAUGAAAGAUUAACUUCUGCGAAAGCAUCUGCCAAGGAUGUUUUCAUUAAUCAAGAACGAAAGUUAGGGGAUCGAAGACGAUCAGAUACCGUCGUAGUCUUAACCAUAAACGAUGCCGACCAGCGAUUAGGAGACGUUGAAUACAAAACACCACCAUCGGUGCGGUCGUCCUUGGCGUCGGUCUUUCGGGGCCGGCGCGGGGACGGCUUAGCCCGGUGGCACCGGUGAAUGACUCCCCUAGCGCCUUGGUGAGAAAAAAAAAAAAGAA